This 307-nucleotide ribosomal RNA is filed under the name Pseudomonas sp. DV66. RNAcentral describes it as "bacterial SSU rRNA". It matches the Rfam family "Bacterial small subunit ribosomal RNA", at positions 46 to 353 of the family's 1533-position model. The record is from RNAcentral. Lineage: Bacteria; Pseudomonadati; Pseudomonadota; Gammaproteobacteria; Pseudomonadales; Pseudomonadaceae.
AGGCCUAACACAUGCAAGUCGAGCGGAUGAGAGGAGCUUGCUCCUCGAUUCAGCGGCGGACGGGUGAGUAAUGCCUAGGAAUCUGCCUAGUAGUGGGGGACAACGUUUCGAAAGGAACGCUAAUACCGCAUACGUCCUACGGGAGAAAGUGGGGGAUCUUCGGACCUCACGCUAUUAGAUGAGCCUAGGUCGGAUUAGCUAGUUGGUAGGGUAAAGGCCUACCAAGGCGACGAUCCGUAACUGGUCUGAGAGGAUGAUCAGUCACACUGGAACUGAGACACGGUCCAGACUCCUACGGGAGGCAGCA